RNAcentral lists this ribosomal RNA (253 nucleotides) under uncultured bacterium. Its description in RNAcentral is "partial 16S ribosomal RNA". It matches the Rfam family "Bacterial small subunit ribosomal RNA", at positions 524 to 776 of the family's 1533-position model. The record is from RNAcentral.
UACGGAGGGUGCAAGCGUUGCUCGGAAUUAUUGGGCGUAAAGGGUAGGUAGGUGGUCUCAUUUGUCUGGGGUGAAAGCCUUGAGCUUAACUCAAGAAGUGCCCCAGAAACGGUGAGACUAGAGUCUUGGAGAGGGUCGUGGAAUUCCCGGUGUAGCGGUGAAAUGCGUAGAGAUGUGGAGGAACACCAGUGGCGAAGGCGACUCUUUGGCCUGUAACUGACGCUGAGGCGCGAAAGCGUGGGGAGCAAACAGG